CGUGUAGGCGGGUAUAUAAGUCAGAAGUGAAAUCCUAUAGCUUAACCAUAGAACUGCUUUUGAAACUGUAUACCUAGAAUGUGGGAGAGGUAGAUGGAAUUUCUGGUGUAGGGGUAAAAUCCGUAGAGAUCAGAAGGAAUACCGAUUGCGAAGGCGAUCUACUGGAACAUUAUUGACGCUGAGACGCGAAAGCGUGGGGAGCAAACA
This 207-nucleotide ribosomal RNA is filed under the name uncultured bacterium. Its description in RNAcentral is "partial 16S ribosomal RNA". It matches the Rfam family "Bacterial small subunit ribosomal RNA", at positions 568 to 774 of the family's 1533-position model. The record is from RNAcentral.